UUCGCAAUGCCCGAAAGGGUGACGAAGCGACGCCGCGUGUGGGAAGAAGGCCUUCGGGUUGUAAACCACUGUCGGGAGUUAAGAAAUACAAGGAUAUGAAUAGUGUCUUUGUUUGACUAAAGCUCCAGAGGAAGCCACGGCUAACUCUGUGCCAGCAGCCGCGGUAAUACAGAGGCGGCAAGCGUUGUUCGGAAUUAUUGGGCGUAAAGAGCACGUAGGCGGCUCUGCAAGUCAGCUGUGAAGGCCUUCUGCUUAACGGAAGAACAGCAUCCGAUACUACAUGGCUUGAGUGCGGGAGGGGAGAGUGGAACUUCUGGUGGAGCGGUGAAAUGCGUAGAUAUCAGAAGGAACGCCGGCGGCGAAAGCGGCUCUCUGGCCCAUAACUGACGCUGAGUGUGCGAAAGCUAGGGGAGCAAACGGGAUUAGAUACCCCGGUAGUCCUAGCCGUAAACGAUGGGCACUAAGUAGAGGGGUUUU
Molecule: ribosomal RNA, 477 nt
Filed under: uncultured bacterium
Lineage: Bacteria
Description: bacterial SSU rRNA
Rfam family: Bacterial small subunit ribosomal RNA
Source: RNAcentral